This is a small nuclear RNA of Rattus rattus (black rat), 104 nucleotides long. NCBI's taxonomy places the organism in Eukaryota, Metazoa, Chordata, Mammalia, Rodentia, Muridae. The record is from RefSeq and is a predicted model, not a curated record.
UUUUGUUUUUUUUGGUGCUGGCUUUGAUUGGAACGAUGCAGAGAAUUAGCAUGGCCCCUGCACAAGGAUAACACACGCAAAUUCGUGAAGCGUUCCAUAAUUUA